UUCAAACAGAAAACUCAAAUGCCAUGUCAACACUUCCAAACACACCACACCCUUUCCAAUUGAAAUCAUGAAAUAGAGAAUGCAAGCCACCUAGACUGGAAGCCCAAAUUCUGUAUGAACCCUAACCCCCAAAUCGAUUUUGCCACACGAUUGAAGGACCUCAAAGCUUGAUUGUUGUAGCCGUUCACAUGGAGAGACCAUGUGGAGGUAAUCCCAAAACAUUUCUCCUUUUGAAGAGAUCUUGAAGCCAGACAUUGGUGCCUCAGGAGUUGGAUGUAUUUUCAGGGUUGUUUAUUACACUGGUCAUCAUUACCUGCUUACUGGCAUUCUUGGACUUGUGAUGGUAUGGAUUUGUUUAGCCAUGCUGACCGACAAGACUCUCUCAGGAACAAAAAAAAAACUUCAAAAAAUGUGUUCAUUUGUGUUUGCAAUUCUUGGCAUUCUGUUUGAGCAUAAUUGGAGUAUGCGCUGCUUGGAAGUUUCACAAUGGCAAAGGUGUUGACAACUUCUAUAGGCUCCACUCAUGACAAAGGCUGUUUUAGAGAAAAUGACUUUUCUUUACCUAUCAAAAAAAAAGAGAAAAUGACUCUUCUUCAAGCACACAACAUAAUAUCACACCUUUCAUCUGAGGCGUUGUUGGUGAACUUAUAGCAUGUUGAUAGUUGUUUUGGGUGGUUUUGUGAUUCUUGUUGUCGUCUCUCCUGUGCAUGGCAAAGGUGACAUUCUCAGAAGAUCUAUAGAAUAGUGUCACUUUUGUAGAGAGAGAUGUGACGAGAUUGAAAUUACUAAAAUUUUCUUGUUGACAGAUUUAAAGAAAAACCAAAUGAAAUUUAAGUUUUUGUACAAGAUUUUGAUUAUAUGAUGUUUCAACUUCAAUGAUUUUGUUACUGCAUAUGGACCAGAGUUGGGCGAUCUAUCAAGACUGAAAAACAAUAUUAUGGGACUAAAGCAAGCUGGCCAUCUAUAUAUCCCCUCUACUAUAACAGAGUGAAUCACAAUUGUAGUGUCACUUUUGUAGAGAGAGAUGUGACGAGAUUGAAAUUACUAAAAUUUUCUUGUUGACAGAUUUAAAGAAAAACCAAAUGAAAUUUAAGUUUUUGUACAAGAUUUUGAUUAUAUGAUGUUUCAACUUCAAUGAUUUUGUUACUGCAUAUGGACCAGAGUUGGGUGAUCUAUCAAGACUGAAAAACAAUAUUGUGGGACUAAAGCAAGCUGACCAUCUAUAUAUCCCCUCUACUAUAACAGAGGGAAUCACAAUUUACUGUUCAUUCUUGAAACCUCCAAUUCACACCUAAACAGGUUUACUAGUGUUCACUAUCUCAUUUUUUGCUGUUUAGUAUAUCUUCAAGCGGUAUAGAUAGACAUGGGAAAGUAGCUUUUCACUGUUGUUACCCAUAUCUUUCUUCAAGAUCUCGAUUUCUUCUUCUCUUCUCAAAUAUUCAAGGAACCCCUACUAUAUCUACAAAAACCCUUGACGAAAUUGCCUGCAAAUGUCAUUUACGGUCGACGAAAUCGAAUUUUCAGAAUAUCCUUUCUCUUUUUAUGAAUUGUUGGUGACGAUUUUAUUUUCUCACUAUUAAUCAUUAUUUUGUGUUUUCUUCUCAUUCGACUUCCUUUCGUAAAAUCUAGGAACAUUUCCACACGAGGUGGACAACAAAAGGGGAUUUCUUGAUGCGAAGUGGACUGUAGCGAUCUACUUUUUUCUUCCACCUUUGUUUGAAGAUUUGUGAUUCUUUCAGAAAAUCCACAUAAAGUGGAUCGUGCUAACCUCAAGAACAUUAGUCUCUUGUUUAUCCUUGAAUACGUUUAUCGAGUUUCGUAUUUUUGUUCCUGUUUGUCACUUUUCAAUCCUUGAUUGUGUUCCUACAAAUUUGUGUGGUAGUUUCUUCAAAACUUGAAGUGGUUUUAUAUUUACUUUAAUUUACGGUGUAUAGUCUUUUAAUUUCUUCUUUGGCUAUGUUUAAGUGUUCUAUUUCUUCUAUCUAUAUGUUUUAGCUUUGUAUAACUUUGUUUAGGGAGUAAAAAAUUUUACAUUUCUGUUGCCUUAGGUUCAUAGUUAUUGAGAUUGAUGAUUCUAAAUGUAUAGUCUUUAUUUAAUAAGGUUUUUUCAAAAGAAAACUUUUCAUCCUUUUGAUUUCUACUCAGUUUAUGUACAAAUUUUCUAUUGUUUUACAGUUGUACUUCCCUUUGAAGAAAAAACUGUUGAAUACAAUUUCACUUUCAGUAAGCUUGAAGGAAAAUCAUAAGAAUGAACUGAAAUUUGUAUUUCAUGCAUUAUGUAAAAGUAAUUCUUAGUGUUUAAACAAUUAAAGGAAUCCCAAUUUACCGUUCAUUCUUCAAACCUCUGUUCAUACCUAAAUUGGUUCACUACUGUUCACUAUCUCAUUUUUUGUUGCUUGGUAAAUAUCUACAAGUGGUAUAGAUAGAUAUAGGAAAGCAGCUUUUCACUGUCGUUACCCAUAUAUUUCUUUGAGACUUUGAUUUCUUCUUCUCUUCUCAAAUAUUUGAAGAACCCCUAAUAUAUCUAUAGAAAAUCCUCGAUGAAAUUGCCUACAAAUCUCAUUUACAGUCGACGAAAUUGAAUCUUCUAAAUAUUCUUUUUCUCUUUUUGUGAAUUGUUGGUAACAAUUUUAUUUUCUUACUAUUAAUCGUUUGAUUGUGUUUUCUUCUUAUUCGACUUCCUUUCGUAAAAUCUGAUAAUAUUUCCACACAAAGUGGACAACAUAAGGGGAUUUCUUGACGUGAAGUAGACUGUAGCCAUCUACCUUUGUUUGGAGAUUUGUGAUUCUUUCAGAAACCCACACAAAGUGGAUCGUGCUAACUUCAAUGGACAACAUAAGGAGAUUUCUUGACGUGAAGUAGACUGUAGCCAUCUACCUUUUCCUUCUACCUUUGUUUGGAGAUUUGUGAUUCUUUCAGAAACCCACACAAAGUGGAUUGUGCUGACCUCAAAAAAUUUCCACGCGAAUUGGACAACAAAAGGAGAUUUCUCGAUGCGAAGUGGAUUGUAGCGACCUGCCUUUUUCUUCUACCUUUGUUCGAAGCUUUGUGAUUCUUUCAGAUAACCUAUGCACAGUGGAUCGUGCCAACCUCAAGUACGUUUGUCUCUUGUUUAAAGGGUAUACAUUUUUCGAGUUUUGUAUUUUUUUCCCUAUAUGUUUGUCACUUUUCAAUUUCAUUUGUGUUCCUAUGGAUUUGUCUAGUAGUUUCUUCAAAGCUUGAAGUGGUUUUAUAUUUGCUUUACUUUAUGGUGUAUGAUUUCUAUUUCUUCUCUGACUAUGUUUAAGUGUUCUAUUUCUUCUUUCUAUAUGUUUUAGUUUUGUGAAACUUUGUUUGAAGAGUAAAAAGUUUUACAUUUUUGUUGCCUUAGGUUCAUAGUUAUUGAGAUUGAUGAUUCUAGAUGAAUAGUCCUUGUUUAGUAAGGUUUUUUAAAAGAAAAUUAUUCAUCCUUUUGAUUUUUACUCGGUUUAUAUACAAGUUUUCUAUUGUUUUGCAAUUGUACUUCCCUUUGAGUAAAAAAAUAUUGAAUAAAAUUUCACUUUCAGUAAGCCUGAAGGAGAAUCAUACGAAUGAACUGGAAGUUGUAUUUCAUGCAUUAUGUAAAAGUAAUUCUUAUUGUUCAAACAUUUGAAGUAAGAAUCAGUUCUUGUAGACAUACUUUGCAUAUCGAACUCUCUUUAAGUUUAUUAAUAUUGAUUGAGCAGUUUCUUGUUUUAGUUUAUCCUUUAUAAUACGUGUGCUGAAAUAUGUCACAAAUAAGCCUUUGUUCCUCUUCUGAAAUGAUCGCUAUGCCUAAACAAGCUUUUGUUAUAUUCUCUUCUUAAAUGACUGCUAUGUUGGAGAUUUGGGAUUAGCUAUGCCUAAGUAAG
Long non-coding RNA from Olea europaea var. sylvestris, 3869 nucleotides. RefSeq lists it as uncharacterized. The record is from RefSeq and is a predicted model, not a curated record. The transcript has 4 exons. Lineage: Eukaryota; Viridiplantae; Streptophyta; Magnoliopsida; Lamiales; Oleaceae.